AUGGGCACUACUCCCAGCUCGGCUCACAAUUUUGCAGUUCGGUGUUAUGAAAACUUGAGAAACAGACUUAAUCAUGUUGAUGAGGUGAUGAAAAAGCAAACUAAGAAGCGGGUUCUUGAUGCAAGACUAAGGCUAAAGACUUCCAUUGAUGCCAUGAGGUGGCUAAUGUUUCAAGCAUGUCCCUUCAGAGGAAAUGAUGAGUCUGAGGAUUCCAAGAACCAAGGUAAUUUCAAGGAAAUGAUUAAGCUUUUGGCGUCUUAUAACAAGGAUGUACAUGAAGUUGUACAGAAUGCUCCAAGAAAUGCAAAGUACACCUCAGCAACUAUUCAAAAGGAAAUUGCUAGCAUAUUUGCUGGAAAAGUGAAAACCUCAAUUAAAGAAGAACUUGGUAAUAGCAAAUUCUCUAUCUUGGUUGAUGAAUGUAGAGACGAGUCUAAAAAAGAGCAGAUGGCAGUAGUUCUUCGAUUUGCAAACAUAGAAGGGGUGAUAAGAGAACAUUUUCUUGAUCUUGUUCAUGUUAGAGACACUAGUGCUUUGACUCUCAAGAACACAAUUAUUGCCGUCCUAGUUGAUAAUGGGUUGAAUGUGCAAGAUAUUAGAGGCCAGGGAUAUGACGGGGCAAGCAACAUGAGGGGGGAGUGGAAUGGGCUGAAAGCUCUAAUUCUCAAAGAGUGCCCUUAUGCAUACUAUAUCCAUUGUCUUGCACAUCAACUCCAAUUGGCUCUUGUUGCUGCUUCAAGGGAGGUACAUGAGGUCCAUAAUUUUUUUCAGCAUGCAAAUUUCAUUGUAAAUACAGUUAGUGCAUCUCCCAAACGGAAUGAUGAACUGUUAGAAAAUCAGGCUGCUGAAAUUGCUAGUGAGAUUGAAUUGGGAGAGCUUGACACAGGAAGAGGGGCCAAUCAAAUAGGUUCUUUACAAAGGGCCGGAGACACGAGAUGGAGUUCCCACUACAAAUCUAUCAAAAGUUUGUUAAAGAUGUUUGCCGCAACUGUUACAGUGCUAAGAAGUGUAGCAGCUGAUCGUUGA
Molecule: ribosomal RNA, 1026 nt
Filed under: Triticum aestivum (bread wheat)
Lineage: Eukaryota; Viridiplantae; Streptophyta; Magnoliopsida; Poales; Poaceae
Description: partial small subunit ribosomal RNA
Source: RNAcentral